Molecule: ribosomal RNA, 477 nt
Filed under: Tomocerus nuwa
Lineage: Eukaryota; Metazoa; Arthropoda; Collembola; Entomobryomorpha; Tomoceridae
Description: partial large subunit ribosomal RNA
Rfam family: Bacterial large subunit ribosomal RNA
Source: RNAcentral
ACAUUUCUCUUUGAUUUUAUUUAGAGUAAAGUCUGCCCACUGUUAAAAUAAAGGGCCGCGGUAUUUUGACCGUGCAAAGGUAGCAUAAUCAUUAGUCUCUUAAUUAGGGAAUGGUAUGAAUGGCUAAAUGAUUUUUUUCUUUAAUUAAUAUUAAAAAUAUAAAUUUGAUUUUAAGUGAAAAUACUUAAAUUUUCUAUUAAGACGAUAAGACCCUAUAGAAUUUUAUUUGUAUAAUUUAUAUAUAUAAAUUUAAUUGGGGCAUUUAAAGAAUAAAAUAAAUUUCUUUUUAAAAAUUUUAUUAAUAAUCUAACUUAUUAUAAUAUAAAAAAAUUACCUUAGGGAUAACAGCGUAAUUAAUUUUAAGAGUUCAUAUCGACAAAUUAGUUUGCGACCUCGAUGUUGAAUUAAAAUUCCUAAAUGGAGCAGAAUUUAUUAAAGGUAGUCUGUUCGACUAAAAAAUUUUUACAUGAUUUGAGU